CUUAACACAUGCAAGUCGAACGUUGUAGACAAUACAGCAGUGGCGCACGGGUGAGUAACGCGUGGAUAUCUGUCCUUUUUGGUUCGGAAUAACUCCGGGAAACUGGAGCUAAUACCGGAUGGUUCCUACGGGAUAAAGAUUUAUCGCCAAAAGAUGAGUCCGCGUACGAUUAGCUAGUUGGUGAGGUAAAUGGCUCACCAAGGCGACGAUCGUUAGCUGGUCUGAGAGGACGAUCAGCCACACUGGGACUGAGACACGGCCCAGACUCCUACGGGAGGCAGCAGUGGGGAAUAUUGGACAAUGGGGCAACCCUGAUCCAGCCAUGCCGCGUGAGUGAUGAAGGCCUUCGGGUUGUAAAGCUCUUUGGCGGGGACGAUGAUGACGGUACCCGCAGAAUAAGCCCCGGCUAACUUCGUG
RNAcentral lists this ribosomal RNA (417 nucleotides) under uncultured bacterium. RNAcentral describes it as "bacterial SSU rRNA". It matches the Rfam family "Bacterial small subunit ribosomal RNA", at positions 47 to 507 of the family's 1533-position model. The record is from RNAcentral.